GAUGAACGCUGACAGAAUGCUUAACACAUGCAAGUCAACUUGAACUUCGGUUUGGGUGGCGGACGGGUGAGUAACGCGUAAAGAACUUGCCUCACAGAUAGGGACAACAUUUGGAAACGAAUGCUAAUACCUAAUAUUAUGAUUUUAGGGCAUCCUAGGAUUAUGAAAGCUACAUGCGCUGUGAGAGAGCUUUGCGUCCCAUUAGCUAGUUGGAGAGGUAACGGCUCACCAAGGCGAUGAUGGGUAGCCGGCCUGAGAGGGUGAUCGGCCACAAGGGGACUGAGACACGGCCCUUACUCCUACGGGAGGCAGCAGUGGGGAAUAUUGGACAAUGGACCAAGAGUCUGAUCCAGCAAUUCUGUGUGCACGGUGAAGUUUUUCGGAAUGUAAAGUGCUUUCAGUUGGGAAGAAAAAAAUGACGGUACCAACAGAAGAAGUGACGGCUAAAUACGUGCCAGCAGCCGCGGUAAUACGUAUGUCACAAGCGUUAUCCGGAUUUAUUGGGCGUAAAGCGCGUCUAGGUGGUUAUAUAAGUCUGAUGUGAAAAUGCAGGGCUCAACUCUGUAUUGCGUUGGAAACUGUGUAACUAGAGUACUGGAGAGGUAAGCGGAACUACAAGUGUAGAGGUGAAAUUCGUAGAUAUUUGUAGGAAUGCCGAUGGGGAAGCCAGCUUACUGGACAGAUACUGACGCUGAAGCGCGAAAGCGUGGGUAGCAAACAGG
This 722-nucleotide ribosomal RNA is filed under the name uncultured Fusobacterium sp. RNAcentral's name for it is "bacterial SSU rRNA". It matches the Rfam family "Bacterial small subunit ribosomal RNA", at positions 28 to 776 of the family's 1533-position model. Lineage: Bacteria; Fusobacteriati; Fusobacteriota; Fusobacteriia; Fusobacteriales; Fusobacteriaceae. The record is from RNAcentral.